Molecule: long non-coding RNA, 4402 nt
Organism: Prinia subflava (tawny-flanked prinia)
Lineage: Eukaryota; Metazoa; Chordata; Aves; Passeriformes; Cisticolidae
Exons: 3
Source: RefSeq, a predicted model, not a curated record
AUUGAGAUCCAGUCUAGGUGCUACUCCAUAUAUUUUGUUUCCUCAGGAGCUGUUUAUUUUUUAAAUUUGCCUGUGAUUCCCAGACUGGAAACUGCUUCUAACUAGUGUCUUUUUCCUUGAAAACCUGGCUGCUGUUGUCCAAGCCAGGAGCUUCAUUUUUUUAGCAUAGCUUAGUUUAAUUAUGAGCCUGUUUAGCCUAAGUGUGAUCCCUGGCUGGAGGGCUGGCGAGUUUCCUCUCGCAGUUAAAGCACUCAUUUAUAAGUAGGUCUGUACUUACCUUCCUCCUCUAUAGAAAAUAGAGCUGAAUUUUAUAUUCUGCAGGAAUUGCAUUCAAACACAGAAAGGAGAAGCAGGCCUUGGAGCAGGGACCAGAUGUAAUGAGCACCUUGAACACUGAACUGCCGAGUUAUCCAUCCUUCCUGACCUUGUGAGGUUGGAGCUUUUUUCCCACACAAAGGUACUGCUCUGAGUGAACAGCAACAUUCCCCACCUCCUGAGUAGCCUUGUUUCUUGCAAGCCUUGUGUUUUGGGCACUCAUCUGGAAGAUAAAAGGUUAGGUUUGAAGUUCAGACAAGAGAGAAUUGAAUCCUUUUACAGGGCAAGCAUUCUCACCACUUGGCUAUUGUGCGGGAAAGAAAGGCUCGGUGUCUCCUUCUUCCGCGGCGUUCUGAAAGGGAAGCAGGAGCUCUGCUCAAAGGGACUCUGCUCCUGCUGUCAGCAAGGGCUGCUUGCUGGGGAGCUGAGCUUCCCAGAGACCACUCACACCCACUGGAGAUUAAUUUUUAAUGGUUUAACUUGCGGGUGGGUAGCUGGGGCUUGGGGAAUCCCGUUCAGCCUUUUGGCUACUGUUGACUGGAACACAAAAACAGCAAUACUGAGGCAGAGGUCUGCAGUGAAAAGCUGCUCCCCAGAAAAGGGACUUACCUUGUUUAUUUCUUUUCAUUUUAUAAUUUUGUGGGUCUGGUAGCGGAUUGGCUUCUGGGGUUACUACCCCUUCACCCCACUGGCCAGACCAGCUGCCAACCAACAUUAUUUUCAGGCUAGAAAUAUGUAAGCAAAGGACAGUGAACAAAAACAAGAAAGGUUGUUUAUGUUCCAAAGUUUCAGAAAGUGAAAAACUGACCAUUAAUAUUGCACAGAAACUAAAGAUCUGACUCCAUCUUAUGAACAAGUAGAAGGCUUUAAAAAAUCUCAGAAAAGCCAGGGAAACAGGUACCUCAGUCCCCACACACCGAGUUAUCCAUCCCCCAGGCUGCAGAGGGGCUCGUGGGGAAGUAGGAGCCCUCUUCCCUAAGCCAAGCAUUCCACUCCAUGGAAGGGAGCUUGGAAAGGAGCCACUGCAGCACCCAACCCUCACACCCCACCCUGUCGCUCUCUAUGAGAUCACAGUUCAGGACUGGGACUUCCUGCAUUUUCUUGGUUCAUUUAUUCAUUUGGGUGUUUUGCUUGUUGUUCUGGGCUUUGCAGUCCUUGCAAGAUGAUUGUAAAUUUAUUUUUCUUUCUAAAAUAAUAUGAUUUAGGUUUACAAAAAGGAAGGUAUCUUCAUCUUCAUACAAAACUGACAAAGUUUUUGGACAAAACCCCUCACUACACUCAGAGAUGUAGAAAAUGGUAGAGGCACCUGUGAGACAGAACCAAGAGUUAUUUUUAUAAAAUAUGACAUGGUAUGUUUAUUAAAAAGCACUUCUACCUCAUGAAUGUUCCAGGAAGCUUUGACCCUUUCAAAAUUUCCUCUAGUGAUGAAAAAGUACCAUUUUUACAGGCUACUUUGUUCUGAUACAUGCAACACUUAAAGACAGCUUGAAAAGCAUAGCAGCACAUACAGCACUAACUGCUGAUGGCACUGAUGACAGAAGUAGGCAAAUACCUGACUUAUUCAUUUAUUUUUAAAUUUUUCUAUUCUAAGAUAUCCAAACUUAUUCAGAUAUUCUCACCACUUCUAAAACAGAGUGCAGGGAUAAUGUGAAGUAAUGACUACUGCCUAAAGAGCUGGAAAAUAUUUCUGCACUUCUUUUAACUGCAGGAAAAGUUCAGAUUAGGCUGUUAGAUUGAAAAAGAUCUUAUUUGGACAACCAGGCAGAGUUGUCAGUUAAAAUAAAUGUUUGGAUUAAAUGAAGAAAUUCCAUAGGUUAUCAUGGCCUGAAGGAGACACACUGCAUUUGUGAAUGGCUGAGAUCCAUGGCCCCAGAAAAAGGAGGAAAAAUGCUUACCCAGUUUCCCUAAAAUCUGACAAUAGAAAUACAAAUAUACUGGCAAGAUGGAACUUUUUUGCUUUAAGUCUUUCCCUCCAAAAAAAAAAAAAAAAAAAAAAGUCUUCCUUGCAGUGAGGAUAACAACGUACAAAGGUACCUGAACACUCAGCUCAGACCUAGACCCUUGGUACUUUCUACAAAAUCCUGGCCAGGCUUUGUAAUACAGGCUUUUGAUGCUUUGUGAUGCAUAAGCAUCAGUUCCAAAAGAACAUCAGAAAAGCAAAAGCUUUAUGUGCUGUUCUGGAAUCCAGCAAAAAAAAUGCAUAGCCUUAGGCAUUGUAUUUAAAUGAGCCUUCCAAGAUCCUCAUGAAUGUUAGCUCAGACAGAGUUUAUCUACCAGGGGAAAACCAGAGAUUCAGCUUCACUGCCAACUUUCUUAAUAAACAUGAGCCACUGGCAUUGUCCAAAAUAGAGCAGAUAAGCAGAAGUUGCACAUCCCACUCAUUACUAUGCUAUAUUAAAGCUUAGCACAGUUGAGGGAACAACAUUUCAGAAGUUAUUUACAGUGAUGUGAACAAUUUAGUUUAUAAACAAAUGAGCAGUAAAUGUCCUUAUCCAGGAGAUUAAAAAAAAAAAAAGUUAGUUUUUACAAAAAAGUCAAACCAGAUUUUUUUCAAGCACUGAUUACCAAAGGAAUGUUAGUGCUUUGGGUGUGUUUAGUAGGUUAUUUAUUUGUUUCUAUUUCAAUUAGCUAGUGCUCAGUGUGCAUGUUAGAGAAAGGCUGCUGCUUUUAGACAGCACAGUGUCUGACCAGCAUUCCAUCUGAUGUAGCAAAAAAGCACUUGGAUGCAGUAGAAGUGCUAAAAUCUGCUUGGGUUCUACCCUUUCCAUAGCACCAAUUCACACCAUUUUCAGCUUGUGGCAGCAAUACCAGCACUAAUUGCAGUUAUUUCCUACUGCAGCAAUUCUUGCUUUAGACACUCUGAGCUCAGAGCACUGAUCUUUGAGAGAGACCCAGAACCUGAAGGUCCUGUUGGGUUUCCUGCCAGGGUGUUAGGACAGGCUGGGCACUGAAACCCUGUCAGAUUUAGGGGAGAUGUGCAGCCAGAUCCCCCAGAGGUUCCACAUGCUCCCCACUCACCCCAGCUGGAGAAGGGCCCCACUGCCAGGUCCCCUGGAAGCAGGAAUCAUUUUUUUCUUGAUGACUGAUACAAAAUCCAAGGCUUUGGCAUCAUUUGCAGGUUGCCUUUCAACUCCCAGGUCUCUGUGAAACACCUGUAUAAUUUGUGAGCCUUGUCUUCAGGUCUGUUAUACCCCAAAAAAAUCACCUUCCACAGAAUCCUUGAGGUUGGAAAGACCUCCAAGGUCCUUAAAUCCAACCUCUGACCAAACACCACCAUUCCCUCCACAGCCUGAGCCAAAGGAGUGCCAGGGCUGAGCCUGCAGAGGGUGAGGAUCCCUACUGAUCCACGGCCUGUGCUCCCAGAAUUAGGAGGCAUUUGGGAAGAGACAGGCAUUUCAAACCUCCCUUCAGAGCUUUAAUUAGCAUGAUUGUCUGCACAGAUAUGUUAAUGGUAGUUUUCUUCACUCUGAUCCAGAAAUUAGGUUGUAAUAAAUAUCAACAUUUUAAAAAGCCUGUUAUCUUGGCUCAGUAUUUGCUCCUCACCCAACCAAUGACACAUCCUACCAGCCCUGCAGUUUCCUCUACAGUUUAAUAAAUCCUUUUCAAACAGAUUUUUUUUGGUGUCCAUGAAAACUUCCAGGAAAGCAGCACUUCUUUGAUUUAUACAUUUUUACACAUCAAAAUAAACAAGCAGUGUUUCUUUGUGUGCCCAGCAAGCUGAAAGGGUGGAGUUUCAGGAGCCAGUUAUUUGAGAGACCUGAAAUAUCCUGAAGAAAUGGUACAAAGCUCCUGGGCCUGGAUGAGUCUGGGGACCCUGCAAGGCAAGGAAAGUGAGGGGAAUGUCACCGUGGAUGAGAAACACGAGAGUGGGGAAAGCUGGAGGCCAAAGGGAGAAACAGAGCUGAAGAAUGAUCAGAGUCUGAGACUUUGGUAACCCACCCCAUUUAUCUGUGCUAAAUGAUUCAGGACCCUGCAAGAUCCAGCUUCGGUUACUUGACUUCUAUUUUAAUAUUUGAAAUAAAUGUGAUUAAAUAAUAAAUUUGAUUGUCUACUUGGAAGUGUUUGUUUCCUCAAGCCUAAUGCUAAU